Molecule: ribosomal RNA, 971 nt
Filed under: bacterium enrichment culture clone HB_21
Lineage: Bacteria
Description: bacterial SSU rRNA
Rfam family: Bacterial small subunit ribosomal RNA
Source: RNAcentral
AGAGUUUGAUCAUGGCUCAGGACGAACGCUGGCGGCGUGGAUUAGGCAUGCAAGUCGAACGGUAUAAACCUUUCGGGGUUUAGAGAGUGGCGAACGGGUGAGUAACACGUAGGUAAUCUACCCUCAAAACGGGGACAACCCAGGGAAACUUGGGCUAAUACCGGAUGCGUGCAAGCAAUGUUUUGGCUGUUAAUGCUAUUCACGGAAGUGAGUAGUGUUAAUGGUUGAGAGCAUUAUUUGCAUAAAAGGUGGCAUAUGCUGCCGUUUGAGGAUGAGCCUGCGUCCUAUUAGUUAGUUGGUGAGGUAAUGGCUUACCAAGGCGAUGAUAGGUAGGCGGCCUUAACGGGUGGUCGCCCACACUGGGAUUGAGAGACGGCCCAGACUCCUACGGGAGGCAGCAGUCGAGAAUAGUCUACAAUGGACGGAAGUCUGAUAGUGCGACGCCGCGUGAACGAAGAAUCCCUUCGGGGUGUAAAGUUCUUUUAUACGUGAGCAGUGCCCUUUAUAUGAAUAGUAUAGAGGGAGGGAUUUAAGCGUAUGAAUAAGCAACGGCUAACUCCGUGCCAGCAGCCGCGGUAACACGGGGGUUGCAGGCGUUGUCCGGAAUUACUAGGCGUAAAGUGCAGGUAGGCGGAUAGAUAAGUUUAAGGUUAAAGGCUACGGCUUACCCGUAGUAAGGCGUUAGAUACUGUUUAUCUGGAAUGCGGUUGAGGGAGACAGAAUUCCUGGUGUAGCGGUGGAAUGCGCAGAGAUCAGGAGGAAUACCGAAGGCGAAGGCAGUCUUCUAAGCCGAUAUUGACGCUAAACUGCGAAGGUGUGGGGAUCAAACAGGAUUAGAUACCCUGGUAGUCCACACAGUAAACGAUAAUCACUAGGUGUUGGGUUCGUAUAGGACUCGGUGCCGGAGCUAACGCGAUAAGUGAUUCGCCUGGGGAGUACGAUCGCAAGGUUGAACUCAAAUGAAUUGACGG